Paramuricea clavata is the source of this 458-nucleotide non-coding RNA. The record is from the annotation of a GenBank genome assembly. Lineage: Eukaryota; Metazoa; Cnidaria; Anthozoa; Malacalcyonacea; Plexauridae.
GCUUUAGUUUUAUUCCCCAUUGUUAAAAUUGACUUUGAGGCCCAAGUGCUACGUUUGCCCCAGGCCCCCGUCACAACUCGCAAGCGCUGAGGUCACAAACCCAAACAGUCUAUUUAUUUUGUAUUAUAUACCUUAUAUUUUUCUUUAUUUUCUUUUUCAGAUUGUUUUAUAGUUAUGACCUUAAUUCUAACCCUAUAGCACUUGGUAUUGCUAUAGCAACAAAAGUCAUGACAUAUACUGUAUGUUAUUUUUAUAUUAUGGAACAUAUCCUUUUCAUGCGAACUUGUUUGUCUAUAUAAUUUGCACAUUUCUUGUCCCGUAGGCGACGCGAUUUUCCGUUUCAUAACCCGCCAGGGUUAACAGUAACAAUCAGUGUGACCACUUUCAGUGUGCGUAACAUCCGGGUAAUAUGAAAAUAUCUCCAAAAUAAUACCACCCCGCGAAACACGUGUUUAAAC